AGUGAACGCUGGCGGUAGGCCUAACGCAUGCAAGUCGAACGGCAGCACAGUAAGAGCUUGCUCUUACGGGUGGCGAGUGGCGGACGGGUGAGGAAUACAUCGGAAUCUACUUUUUCGUGGGGGAUAACGUAGGGAAACUUACGCUAAUACCGCAUACGACCUACGGGUGAAAGCAGGGGAUCUUCGGACCUUGCGCGAUUGAAUGAGCCGAUGUCGGAUUAGCUAGUUGGCGGGGUAAAGGCCCACCAAGGCGACGAUCCGUAGCUGGUCUGAGAGGAUGAUCAGCCACACUGGAACUGAGACACGGUCCAGACUCCUACGGGAGGCAGCAGUGGGGAAUAUUGGACAAUGGGCGCAAGCCUGAUCCAGCCAUACCGCGUGGGUGAAGAAGGCCUUCGGAUUGUAAAGCCCUUUUGUUGGGAAAGAAAAGCAGCAGGUUAAUACCCCGCUGUUCUGACGGUACCCAAAGAAUAAGCACCGGCUAACUUCGUG
Molecule: ribosomal RNA, 492 nt
Filed under: uncultured bacterium
Lineage: Bacteria
Description: partial 16S ribosomal RNA
Rfam family: Bacterial small subunit ribosomal RNA
Source: RNAcentral